This 487-nucleotide ribosomal RNA is filed under the name uncultured bacterium. Its description in RNAcentral is "bacterial SSU rRNA". It matches the Rfam family "Bacterial small subunit ribosomal RNA", at positions 30 to 514 of the family's 1533-position model. The record is from RNAcentral.
AUUGAACGCUGGCGGCAGGCCUAACACAUGCAAGUCGAGCGAGAAAGGUCUUCGGACUGAGUACAGCGGCGGACGGGUGAGUAAUGCGCAGGAAUCUACCUGGUAGUGGGGGAUAACUCGGGGAAACUCGAACUAAUACCGCAUACGCCCUACGGGGAAAGCGGGGACCGUUCGGGCCUCGCGCUAUCAGAUGAGCCUGCGUAGGAUUAGCUUGUUGGUGAGGUAAAGGCUCACCAAGGCGACGAUCCUUAGCUGGUCUGAGAGGAUGAUCAGCCACACUGGAACUGAGACACGGUCCAGACUCCUACGGGAGGCAGCAGUGGGGAAUAUUGCGCAAUGGGCGAAAGCCUGACGCAGCCAUGCCGCGUGUGUGAAGAAGGCCCUUGGGUUGUAAAGCACUUUCAAUUGGGAAGAAAGGUUGCGUGUUAAUAGCACGUAGCUGUGACGUUACCUUUAGAAGAAGCACCGGCUAACUCCGUGUCAGCAG